Molecule: unclassified non-coding RNA, 498 nt
Filed under: Hevea brasiliensis (rubber tree)
Lineage: Eukaryota; Viridiplantae; Streptophyta; Magnoliopsida; Malpighiales; Euphorbiaceae
Source: RNAcentral
GCCAUAUCAUAGUCUCGAGGGGGAGGGCGGGUGGUGGUCAGGUUGGGACAGGACGGGAUUCGCUGAAUAUCGAGAUGAGGAAACCACUCUCAAAGUUAACAAUUAAAACAGGGAUGAGCAUAUAGAAGGCUCAAACUAAUGCAACAAACUCUCCCUAAGAUAUGCCUAUGUCCCGAAUGAAGUUUGGCUCAAACUUCGAAAUUCUUUCUACAAGUUUCGAUUGUUUCUGUAUCCCCAUCCCGAACCUGUGACCUAAUUUUCUUCUCACAAACAAAAAUCAAUAAAAUUUAAAAUCCUUACACUUCCAACUAGCCGCUGGCAACUAUCUCAUGGAUGGCAUCACUCACGACUUCGUCAUCUGAUCUAACGGCCAGCUUCAUCGCAACCUCUCGUGAUGAAUCAAUUCCGAAUGAUAAUCGCACGAGUACCUUCACGUUGCCAAUGUAUACACCAGAUAAUAGGCAGGUGUGUGAUCUUGAGUUGCUUGCGACAGCCUCG